RNAcentral lists this unclassified non-coding RNA (331 nucleotides) under soil metagenome. Its description in RNAcentral is "partial contains 5.8S ribosomal RNA, internal transcribed spacer 2, and large subunit ribosomal RNA". The stretch from base 1 to 120 matches the Rfam family "5.8S ribosomal RNA", at positions 35 to 154 of the family's 154-position model. The record is from RNAcentral.
GAUGAAGAACGUAGCGAAAUGCGAUAAGUAAUGUGAAUUGCAGAAUUCAGUGAAUCAUCGAAUCUUUGAACGCACAUUGCGCCCCCUGGUAUUCCGGGGGGCAUGCCUGUUCGAGCGUCAUUUCACCACUCAAGCCUCGCUUGGUAUUGGGCAACGCGGUCCGCCGCGUGCCUCAAAUCGACCGGCUGGGUCUUCUGUCCCCUAAGCGUUGUGGAAACUAUUCGCUAAAGGGUGUUCGGGAGGCUACGCCGUAAAACAACCCCAUUUCUAAGGUUGACCUCGGAUCAGGUAGGGAUACCCGCUGAUCUUAAGCAUAUCAAUAAGCGGAGGA